RNAcentral lists this ribosomal RNA (408 nucleotides) under uncultured bacterium. RNAcentral's name for it is "partial 16S ribosomal RNA". It matches the Rfam family "Bacterial small subunit ribosomal RNA", at positions 355 to 755 of the family's 1533-position model. The record is from RNAcentral.
CGGGGAAUUUUGGACAAUGGGCGCAAGCCUGAUCCAGCCAUGCCGCGUGCGGGAAGAAGGCCUUCGGGUUGUAAACCGCUUUUGUCAGGGAAGAAAUCUUCUGAGUUAAUACCUCGGGAGGAUGACGGUACCUGAAGAAUAAGCACCGGCUAACUACGUGCCAGCAGCCGCGGUAAUACGUAGGGUGCAAGCGUUAAUCGGAAUUACUGGGCGUAAAGCGUGCGCAGGCGGUUUUGUAAGACAGAGGUGAAAUCCCCGGGCUCAACCUGGGAACUGCCUUUGUGACUGCAAGGCUUGAGUGCGGCAGAGGGGGAUGGAAUUCCGCGUGUAGCAGUGAAAUGCGUAGAUAUGCGGAGGAACACCGAUGGCGAAGGCAAUCCCCUGGGCCUGCACUGACGCUCAUGCACG